RNAcentral lists this ribosomal RNA (459 nucleotides) under uncultured bacterium. RNAcentral's name for it is "partial 16S ribosomal RNA". It matches the Rfam family "Bacterial small subunit ribosomal RNA", at positions 338 to 795 of the family's 1533-position model. The record is from RNAcentral.
CCUACGGGUGGCAGCAGUGAGGAAUAUUGGUCAAUGGGCGUAAGCCUGAACCAGCCAAGUCGCGUGAGGGAUGAAGGUUCUAUGGAUCGUAAACCUCUUUUAUAAGGGAAUAAAGUGUGGGCCGUGUCCUAUUUUGUAUGUACCUUAUGAAUAAGGAUCGGCUAACUCCGUGCCAGCAGCCGCGGUAAUACGGAGGAUCCGAGCGUUAUCCGGAUUUAUUGGGUUUAAAGGGUGCGUAGGCGGCCUUUUAAGUCAGCGGUAAAAGCCCGGGGCUCAACCCCGGCGAGCCGUUGAAACUGUCGGUCUAGAGAGGGCGAGAAGUACGCGGAAUGCGCGGUGUAGCGGUGAAAUGCAUAGAUAUCGCGCAGAACUCCGAUUGCGAAGGCAGCGUACCGGCGCCGGACUGACGCUGAGGCACGAAAGCGUGGGUAUCGAACAGGAUUAGAUACCCUUGUAGUC